This 253-nucleotide ribosomal RNA is filed under the name uncultured bacterium. RNAcentral describes it as "partial 16S ribosomal RNA". It matches the Rfam family "Bacterial small subunit ribosomal RNA", at positions 524 to 776 of the family's 1533-position model. The record is from RNAcentral.
UACGUAGGGGGCAAGCGUUGUCCGGAAUCAUUGGGCGUAAAGAGCGCGUAGGCGGCCCGAUAAGUCCGCUGUGAAAGUCAAGGGCUCGACCCUUGAAUGCCGGUGGAUACUGUCGGGCUAGAGUCCGGAAGAGGCGAGUGGAAUUCCUGGUGUAGCGGUGAAAUGCGUAGAUAUCAGGAGGAACACCUGUGGCGAAAGCGGCGCACUGGACCACAACUGACGCUGAGGCGCGAAAGCUAGGGGAGCAAACAGG